GGGUUGUAUACUUCUUUUAUACGGGAAUAAAGUGAGGCACGCGUGCCUUUUUGUAUGUACCGUAUGAAUAAGGAUCGGCUAACUCCGUGCCAGCAGCCGCGGUAAUACGGAGGAUCCGAGCGUUAUCCGGAUUUAUUGGGUUUAAAGGGAGCGUAGGCGGACGCUUAAGUCAGUUGUGAAAGUUUGCGGCUCAACCGUAAAAUUGCAGUUGAUACUGGGUGUCUUGAGUACAGUAGAGGCAGGCGGAAUUCGUGGUGUAGCGGUGAAAUGCUUAGAUAUCACGAAGAACUCCGAUUGCGAAGGCAGCUUGCUGGACUGUAACUGACGCUGAUGCUCGAAAGUGUGGGUAUCAAACAGGAUUAGAUACCCUGGUAGUCCACACAGUAAA
This 388-nucleotide ribosomal RNA is filed under the name uncultured bacterium. Its description in RNAcentral is "bacterial SSU rRNA". It matches the Rfam family "Bacterial small subunit ribosomal RNA", at positions 420 to 806 of the family's 1533-position model. The record is from RNAcentral.